This 1403-nucleotide long non-coding RNA is filed under the name Gallus gallus (chicken). Its description in RNAcentral is "lncRNA (ENSGALG00010020028.1)". The record is from RNAcentral. Lineage: Eukaryota; Metazoa; Chordata; Aves; Galliformes; Phasianidae.
GGCGGGACCGCGACACCGCUGUGUUUUGGGGCGGCAGCGGGCUUGCAGCCCGAAGGCUUCGGCGCUCGGCGGCGGGCGGGGGCCUUCACAAAAUGAGAUGCCGUGUCAGUGACAUGAAGAUACCAUAUGGGAUUAAGGAUGGAUCCAGGAAGUUUGGGACCAUAGAGAGCCAGUCUGUCAGGACCAUGUAGUGCAGCUAAUGGAUGUAAAGCUCUGAUUCCACAGGGAACAGAGAAAGAGAGAGUCUCUGAAAUUGGGCGAGAGAGUCUCCAAACUGAAAGGGAGAGUCUCCAGGAGAGAGUCAGAGCUGACAGGGAGAAUCUCCAGGUCCAGAAAAAGAGUCUUCUAGUUGAGAAACAGGAUCUCCAGAUUGAGUGAGAGAGUCUCCAAGAUGAGAAUGAAGGUCUCCAAUCUGAGAGAGAGAAUCUCCAAUCUGAGCGAGAUACACUCCAAUUUGAACAGGAUACCCUCCAAAAUGAGUGAGAUACCUUCCAAUCCAAGCUAGACAGUCUCCAAACUGAAUGAGACAAACUCCAAUCUCAAUGAGACAGCCCCCAAACCACACUCCUAACCAAACAAGACAGACUCCAAGCGGAGCUGGAGAGAAAGAGCAUCAAAACUGACCAACCUGAUCAAUCACACAAAACACCAGAAUCGAUGUCAGUUGCCCACAUGAGAGGAUGUAAGUUGAAACAAGCAUUGCCUCGUUUAGAAUGGAAGGAAGAGGAAGAAGAUUCUGUAAGAGAAGAGGAGAAAAUAGAAGAAAAAGAUCCAGGAGAGUGGCCCCUAUUUCCAGGGGAGGAGCCCUCAACAAGACCAUGGUUGCUGACACGAAGGGGGGCUAAAAGAGAAGAAGAAGGUAAAUAAGACGUUGUCACCAUUACUAUUCAACCUCUGAAAAUGACUGAAAUUUGAGGUUCGAGAAAAUAUUUUUCACCUCCCCUUUUCCCAAGGUGUGGGUCCGUGGAUCCCGCCGCCCCACUAGUCAUGGAACCAGGCUGAACCAUCCCGUAAACCAUUGAAAACGGGUCAUCUUAUCUAGCUCUUUUUUCUUUUCCUUUUCUUCCUUUGAAGGACAAGGGCUGAGCAUUUCCUUGACCAUGAGUCACUUGGACCUGAGAGUUUUUCCAAACAAGUUUGUGUUUUAUGGAGAAACUCCCACUUUUGUAAAGGAACCUGUCUCACCGAGACAAAGUCUUUUAUUAGUUAUGAUCACAUGCAUUUGUGGUCCAGGCAUUUCCUCUUUCCUUGUGCCAAUGGGAGGCAGAAGAACGGGUGACAUUUUUGUUUAAUGCUAGCCAGACUCAACACUAUGCACUAGGUGACGUUCUUCUGUUUUUUGAGUUAAAAUUGCUUAUGCUUCAAGAAGAUGUUAGGCAAUAGCAAGACAUACUGUGCUAGUC